GAUUUACACCUCUGGAUGGAUGGAGUACUAUUAUUAAGGGCUUUAUUAGGGGCUUUAUUUGAACAGUAAACUUUCAUAUCCUCAUCCUAUGUCUUAAUAUCUGGUGAAAUACAAAACAAGUGAUGGGAUUAAAUGAAGCGAAUAUAGGAGCAAUUUUUUUUUUUUUUUCAUGUCUGCAAUAAUGACUUUUGUUGAAAUUUGUUGAGAAAUAGUACAAUUGUUUUCCUUAUUUUUUUUACUUUCUCUACCUAAAAUGCUUCAGACUAAACACAGGUUUAUUUGAUUAACCAUACAUCAUUUCUUGGGGGAAAAAAAUGUUAAAAAUGUAAAGACUUUGAAGAAAUGUUUAUUUGUUUGUCUCUCAAUCAUCACUGUAUUGCGUUGCAUUGUAUGUUUUUAUACUAUAGAGCUUUGAUCAUAAAACAAAGCAUUUAAAUACCAUCUUAUAUUAUUGUGAACUAUAGAGACUUUGAUAUUUGAUGUAUGUAAGUAGUCUGAAUACUGUUAUAAAGAUCUCAUUGAAUUUCUCUAGUUUAAAUAUUUUAAAUUAAACCUGCUUGAUGUAAUUAUUAAUGAAUUCAUAGGUUUUUCAAUGUCAUUUCCCAUCCUUUUAGUGAUUUGUGAACUGAUCUCUUUAACUAAACAAGCCGGUUCUGUGAUGACAUCAUCACACAGGAAGUGACAUCAUUUUGGAGGGAAAGCACCAGCAGCAGCAUUAGAUGAAAAUUAUUGGACUGGAGUGGUGUGGAUUACUUGUGGACUAUCAUGAUGUUUUGAUCAGCUGUUUGGACUCUCAUUCUACCCAUUCACUACAGAGGAUCCAUUGGAGCUUGAAGUCUCAGUCUCCAUUCUUUGCAAUUGCAUGGUGAAUCAACUACAAUGAAUUAAAUUCCAGAAGAAAGGAAAGUCAGACAGUUUUGGUUUGGAGCAACAUUAUGGAAAAGGUUGCUGCUGCGGAAACAGUCCCUGCGAAAAGGAAGUGAUCUCACUGCACCUGUGAGGACGAGGACGAACAUAUACACACACUUCCCAUGCAGCUGUUUGCAGUUGGAUUUUAACAGGAAGCAAUGGAGACGUCAAUUUUUUUCCCAGACCUUUUUUCCUUAUUCCCCCAAAUUCUUCAAUAUCUCUUCGGUAACUCUUAAUAUUACACAUUUCAUACAUUUACACUGACAAAUGUUCAGUGUAAAUGUAUGAAAUGUAUAAUAUUAAGAGUUAUGUAAUAAUUGUUAUGCACCAGUGUAACAAUAUAGAUACAUUUAUUUUAAUAUAAU
This is a long non-coding RNA of Labeo rohita (rohu), 1274 nucleotides long. RefSeq lists it as uncharacterized. NCBI's taxonomy places the organism in Eukaryota, Metazoa, Chordata, Actinopteri, Cypriniformes, Cyprinidae. The record is from RefSeq and is a predicted model, not a curated record. The transcript is spliced from 4 exons.